CCUACGGGGGGCAGCAGUGGGGAAUUUUGGACAAUGGGCGCAAGCCUGAUCCAGCCAUUCCGCGUGCAGGACGAAGGCCUUCGGGUUGUAAACUGCUUUUGUACGGAACGAAAAAGCCUUGGCUAAUACCCAGGGUCCAUGACGGUACCGUAAGAAUAAGCACCGGCUAACUACGUGCCAGCAGCCGCGGUAAUACGUAGGGUGCGAGCGUUAAUCGGAAUUACUGGGCGUAAAGCGUGCGCAGGCGGUUAUAUAAGACAGAUGUGAAAUCCCCGGGCUC
This 280-nucleotide ribosomal RNA is filed under the name uncultured Pseudomonadota bacterium. RNAcentral describes it as "uncultured proteobacterium partial 16S ribosomal RNA". It matches the Rfam family "Bacterial small subunit ribosomal RNA", at positions 338 to 610 of the family's 1533-position model. The record is from RNAcentral. Lineage: Bacteria; Pseudomonadati; Pseudomonadota.